Molecule: long non-coding RNA, 5003 nt
Filed under: Triticum aestivum (bread wheat)
Lineage: Eukaryota; Viridiplantae; Streptophyta; Magnoliopsida; Poales; Poaceae
Description: long non-coding RNA (TAES_LNC023667)
Source: RNAcentral
AAUACAACCAAAUUCAUUACAAUAGAUGGAUUUCAGUCCUAACACUGGAAUGUAAAUAAGCAUAACAGAAGUGAAUCAUAUAACGUGGUUUAUACAAAGCACGAUAGUCUUCCUGUGAGUACAACUUCUACCACACAUAGCCUCUAAACAAAAGAAAAGAUAACCAUGAGUUAUUUGUACUUAUAAUAGAGCAACAUCACAACAGUUCUAGUUAUCCGCGCUGUUACGUUGCAUAUAUAUAAGAGAAGCCAUGCAUGUACCUAGCUAGAACGAAUCAGCCCAUAGCAUUUUUCAGACUCAUUUCGUGUCCUCGGUUUCUCAAUGCUGCUCUAACUGUAGCAUCUUAUCUCUGUUUUCACCGCGGGUAUCAUGAAUCCUUUUGCUUACAUAGCAGCAGGGUCUUCCGACAUGGUCUCAUGUAACAGCCGUACAGCUGUUUUAUCUCCAAAAGAUGAUAUUGCUGUAUGCAAAUAAACAGUCAAGCACAUCAUGCAACUGUCACAUUUUGCUUCGAUACUCAGCCACUGGUAGGCCAGAAGUUUGUAGAAGAAUAUCCAACAUCAUCAUGUGAGGUAUUUUCACCAUCGGUGGAGCACCCUGUAGGUUUUAAUGACAUGCCAUAAAUUUGCAGAAUUUACAGGGAAACCUAAGACAUUUUAGAAAUUACUUCAUACCUAAGACAUAGAACAAUUGGCAUGCCGUCCUCAAACUAUAUUCUUUGUAGUCACAAUAAAAGCUAUCCAGUGUGGAGAAAUAGGUAUGCUGAUUUAUAAGACGCUCGCCACAAAAUUUGAUUAUUAGUAGAUGAUCCAGGACCUAGGGAAAGCUGAUUACACAUUUGUUGACUGUCUAUUGACCUGUGUUGUGAUGAUAGCAUAGAAUGACAAUCAGAGUAAUUGCUUAGCACUAUUAUUAGGUCUCAGGCUUCUCCUAGGUGUGUACCUAUUUCUGAAACGUACAUAGGCUAGAGAGGGAAUCCAUGAUAGAACGAAUAUAAAAAGUUAUAGUCUCCUUUGUCCGAACAUCAAAAGUAAAUUAGUUAAAGAAGGAUUCGGAGAGCACCUGCUAAUAAGCAAUUGCAUCUAUCAUGGUAAAUAAGCACAUCACAUAAGGGACAUCCAACAUCUGUUUUUAUAAGCUGCAAUCAUAGAACUGAUUCUCAUCCAUCAUCAUCAAAUUGAAAGAGAAAUUACCUGUUAGUCGCUGGACAGCCGCCGAGGUUGUAUCAUGGGUUCUGAGCAAGAAAGGAGGCGAAGGAUCCAUGUAUGGUUUCGUCUGGUCGACAGGAAGAUAUAUAUAGUAAGAAAUGAUACAGCUGAAUAUAUAUAUAGAAGGCCCACUAUUCGAUCCAGCUGAAGCUUGUAAUGAGCCUGCAGGCAUCAUCCAGACAUAUGUAUAGUAAGCAAUGAUAUAAGUUUAUCACAAUAUCUCAAGUAACAAAGAACUGGUGAACUGAUGAUUUAAUGAAAAAUCCUUGAAUGUGCAGAUCCAAACAGUAAUAGCAAGUUAAAGAUCAAGUUGGACAGGGUAACGUCUAAUUGGCAUCACCCUUUUUAUAAAAGUCAAAAAGAUCUUAAUGGCCUCGUGACUGAAUAAGAUGUGUAGAUGGAGAAACCAUGCGUAUGAAGCUGCUCAGUACAACUUAACUGAAUUCACUGACUUGAGGUAACGAUGAAGAAAGAAUAAAACAUUCAUAAAAUGCAGAUUCUCUCUUCUUUGAAGAUAUUACAUGACUCGGCAUCUUCUUGUAGGAAAGAACAAAGCAAAUAAAGAAGGAUAAAAUAAGAACAAAGCAAUGAACAGAGCAUCAAGGAAUCAGUAGAACAAUUUCAGCUCACCAUGUCGCGUCACCCCGCGGCUGACCUUCAUGUUCAAAUAACCAAGUAUAUCACAUCAUUUCUGGUUCAUGUACCCCUGGAAAACACAAUGACAUCAGUUAAUGGCGUACACAUAUUUAAAAAAAACUAUGAGCAUAUUUUCACUAACAAUACACACACCAACACCAAAAUCAGAAGAAACAAAAUUGAGAAUAUGACAAGUGAACUUGGCACACGAUAAAUUUGACAGGCCAAUGUAUGACAACUUGUCAUGUCCAUAUGGCAAAAAGCAAUACUUGACACAAAUUAAUUUAUCUGUAAAAAUGACAUAAGGAAUGUACUCAAUAAGCAUGCUAAGAUACAGUCAAGCGUCGAAUGGGUUACUUCGAUUCUGAUAUAGCAAUUACACAAAAAAUAUAGUUCAUAACAGCAUGACAAGUGAGGUGAAAGCAUUGAUAUAUCUGAACACUUCAUCAUUUUACUGAAAAUUAAUAUUUGUAUGCCUUUUCUACUUGUGAAAUAUUUGUAUUGUUUGACCAUGAUGUAUUUUGUCUAAGUAGACGAUGAUAUACUGAACUUACUGACAAGUGUCAAAUUCUUGAUUUAUUAGACAUCUAACUAAGGGAUAUACAGGGACAGUUAACAACAUUUAUCGCUGCAAUGCGCAUGUACUGCAUUUAGACAACAAGUGCCGAUCAUCAGUCCCAACACUGAAGAUUCAUUUCAUUUUAUCAUCAUUUUAUCUAGAAUAGAUAAAUGCAACAAAUGAUAGGAGUUGGGCAUCGAAUGGCGCCAAAUGGCACAGUGUCCAUGUCAAACCAAGAGUAAUUGAAAAUAAAUGCUUGUCAAUUUGGCAAUACCAACGAUCCUUUUAGUAAUGAAAAUUGAAGGUUCAAACUAUGCAAUAGAGUUUUCAAAAUGCGAUCGUAAAUUCUCUCUAUACAAUUUUCUGUGUUAGCUCAAAGUUAAAAAGGCCUAUACUGAUUUGACAUAUAUAUAUACCACUUUAAUUAAAAUAAGUAAGCUUGUUCUGUACAAUAAGAUGUAGAUGCACAUUUUAAUUCAGUACCUCGCGUUGGUAAUAUAUUUAUUUUUCACUAAGCUUUUGAUUGAUAUAUCUUAUUAAGGCGCAAUGCCCAAAUUCAAUCCUGGAGUAUUCUGAAACAGUUUGUGUUUCUUUAAUAUCUUUUCAGUUUUAGAAAUUUAGGUGCUUGGUAAGAAUUAGCAAAAAGCCCCCAUUCGGACAGUUAGGAGAGGAUGCUGCAAUUUCCAAACUAAGUACAAAUAGAUAUGUGAUACACAUGAAAUAAAUCAUUAUAACUCAGACCACACUAAAGUAGAACGAAUCAAAGGUAUGGACAUAAUAAAACUGAACUUCAGUUAUACAAAUAUGCAUCAACACAGUAGCCAUUCAGUUCAUAGUUUACAGGGGAAAGGAAUAAACAACUGCAUUGCUUGCCGGUUCGCUAGUGUUGUACAAUGACAAAUGCCAAUACCUUGUUUCUCCAGGACCAGCAGCAUGGUGGGGUCGGAUGCACUCAUCAUCACUUCAUGUGUGCGGAGCUCCCCAAGCCACACCCGUGGUCACCUCUCUUGCUGCCUAUCCAACUCGCUGCACCAUGCUCCGUGCUCACCGGUGCUAUCCGUCGACCCGCUUUGGUCGAGGCACUACCAGGAUGCUCGAUUUCGCACGGGUCUCUGUUUCCUUGUCUAAAUCCCGUCCAGAAGCUUCCCUACAGAGAAAGAAAGAGCAUCACUGCUGUAGCUACCCAGGGUACUAUAAAUAGAUGGAUGGAAGCAAGACUAAAAAUAAAAAAAUAGAGCAGAUAGUUCAUUUAGUAUAGCACUUUCCUUUUUCUUUUUGAAGGAUCUAGAACAGCAGUUAGGACCAAUAGAACUCCAUUUUGCCGAUCAGGUGUUAGCAAAAGGAUAAUCCCUCGAAAUGCAAUACAUGUUGCAAAACAGUCAAGAUCAUCUAUAAAAAUACGAAGAAAAAAAUACACAUCUUACCCUUCUGCUUGCACUCCUCGACGGCCUGCUGCUUCUCCCUGUCAUUGGCCGCCUCCCCUCCCCUGCAGCCACACCCCAGAUCUGGAACAUUAAAAUGAUCAGCAGACCAAGCACCAUGAUAGCACGCACAUAAACAAUAAUACGCAUGUACCUAGGAAUUAGAGCAGCUAACCUUGACGAGGAGAACAGAGAUGCAACAGAUUGAGAACCUGCAAAACAGAUGGGAACGAUCUGGUCAGAGCACAACCAUGGUACAGUACACACAAGCAAAAGAACACUGCACAAAUAAAGGACCAAAACUGGACAUAUAGAAUCUCCGGAGGUGGCAGUUAGAUUCUGGCACAAGAGAGAGAUUUCAUCGCCUCCAGCUAGAGCUUGCCUGCGGGCUGUCUUACAUUGCGUCCGACUCAAAGGCAAGGUGAGGAGGCAGGGGAGGGGGAGCAAAAGGGUUGGGAGGAGGACCUGCGAGGGCGACGACAUCGUCCUUGCCUACCUUGUAGGAGAGGACGCUUCUGGAAACUCAUGCAUUGCGCUCACCGGCGCUCGCUGUCGCCCAGCCGACGAGUCUCCCCCAACCUCCGACCCCGCCCACAUCCGCCGCUCCUUCAACCCAUGCUGCUUCCGCCCGCAGCCACCGUGCCCUUCAUGACCUGCGGCCCUGCCCCCUCUUCCUCGGCCAGCUCUCAUGUCUUCCAUCGCGUCGUCGAUCUGGGAUGUCCGACGCAUCGUGGUCGUCAUCGCGCCGUCCUCCUCGAUCUAUGGCCGCAGCGAGGAUGCCAGAUAUGAGGUGGAGACGAGCGGCGCAAGAGGGCCGCGUGAGACGAGCGAGGACGGGAUUGGGUGCGGCGCACGCGGAGAGGAUUUGGGCAGGGGCGGCGCGGAUCUGGUGGAUGGAGUAGCCCUCAUCGUCCACCUCCCCUGUCCAUUCAUCCCGCCACCGAGCUCGCAGGCGCGGCGAGGAAUAGCAAGCGGCGGCGAGGCUCCGGGGGAGGCCGUGCCGAGGCAAGGAGGAGGGAUGGAGGAGGCGAGGGAGGCUGUGGGGAUCGAGGGGAAAGGGGGCUAGGGUUUGGGUGGUGGCUGGUGCGGGAGUGGGACGAGGCGAGGAUGGAUUGGCUGCGGGAUGCGCGGUGCGAGGUGCGGAUUGGCCAAAACCUCAUGCACGCGGCCACCGCCAAC